This 375-nucleotide ribosomal RNA is filed under the name uncultured organism. RNAcentral describes it as "partial 16S ribosomal RNA". It matches the Rfam family "Bacterial small subunit ribosomal RNA", at positions 527 to 897 of the family's 1533-position model. The record is from RNAcentral.
AGAGGGUGCAAGCGUUAAUCGGAAUUACUGGGCGUAAAGCGCACGUAGGUGGAUAAUUAAGUUGGGGUGUGAAAGCCCCGGGGGCUCAACCUGGGAGUGUCAUUCAAAACUGGUUAUCUAGAGUACAGUAGAGGGAAGUGGAAUUUCCGGUGUAGCGGUGAAAUGCGUAGAUAUCGGAAGGAACAUCAGUGGCGAAGGCGACUUCCUGGACUGAUACUGACACUGAGGUGCGAAAGCGUGGGUAGCGAACAGGAUUAGAUACCCUGGUAGUCCACGCCGUAAACGAUGAGAACUAGCUGUUGGUGAUAUAAAAAUCAUUAGUGGCGCAGCUAACGCGUUAAGUUCUCCGCCUGGGAAGUACGGCCGCAAGGUUAA